This 86-nucleotide transfer RNA is filed under the name Methanomassiliicoccales archaeon PtaU1.Bin124. Its description in RNAcentral is "tRNA-Ser". It matches the Rfam family "tRNA". Rfam says of the family: Transfer RNA (tRNA) molecules are approximately 80 nucleotides in length. The record is from RNAcentral. Lineage: Archaea; Methanobacteriati; Thermoplasmatota; Thermoplasmata; Methanomassiliicoccales.
GCCGAGGUAGCCCAGCUCGGUAGGGCGGUAGUCUCGAAAACUACUGGGAACCUCCCUCGGGAGUUCAAAUCUCCCCCUCGGCGCCA